RNAcentral lists this ribosomal RNA (771 nucleotides) under uncultured bacterium. Its description in RNAcentral is "bacterial SSU rRNA". It matches the Rfam family "Bacterial small subunit ribosomal RNA", at positions 63 to 822 of the family's 1533-position model. The record is from RNAcentral.
CGAGUGCUUGCACUCACCGAUAAAGAGUUGAGUGGCGAACGGGUGAGUAACACGUGGGCAACCUGCCCAAAAGAGGGGGAUAACACUUGGAAACAGGUGCUAAUACCGCAUAACCAUAGUUACCGCAUGGUAACUAUGUAAAAGGUGGCUAUGCUACCGCUUUUGGAUGGGCCCGCGACGCAUUAGCUAGUUGGUGGGGUAAAGGCUUACCAAGGCAAUGAUGCGUAGCCGAACUGAGAGGUUGAUCGGCCACAUUGGGACUGAGACACGGCCCAAACUCCUACGGGAGGCAGCAGUAGGGAAUCUUCCACAAUGGGCGAAAGCCUGAUGGAGCAACGCCGCGUGGGUGAAGAAGGUCUUCGGAUCGUAAAACCCUGUUGUUAGAGAAGAAAGUGCGUGAGAGUAACUGUUCACGUUUCGACGGUAUCUAACCAGAAAGCCACGGCUAACUACGUGCCAGCAGCCGCGGUAAUACGUAGGUGGCAAGCGUUAUCCGGAUUUAUUGGGCGUAAAGAGAACGCAGGCGGUCUUUUAAGUCUGAUGUGAAAGCCUUCGGCUUAACCGGAGUAGUGCAUUGGAAACUGGGAGACUUGAGUGCAGAAGAGGAGAGUGGAACUCCAUGUGUAGCGGUGAAAUGCGUAGAUAUAUGGAAGAACACCAGUGGCGAAAGCGGCUCUCUGGUCUGUAACUGACGCUGAGGUUCGAAAGCGUGGGUAGCAAACAGGAUUAGAUACCCUGGUAGUCCACGCCGUAAACGAUGAAUGCUAAGUG